Molecule: long non-coding RNA, 4921 nt
Organism: Sarcophilus harrisii (Tasmanian devil)
Lineage: Eukaryota; Metazoa; Chordata; Mammalia; Dasyuromorphia; Dasyuridae
Source: Ensembl
ACACAGAUGAUUCAUUUACACAUUUAUUUUCUAUCCUGUAUAUUCUACCAGACUGAAAUGGAGAACAAUUAAUUUCAUAGACAUUUGACAUAAAUUAAACAAGUAUUUUGAUGUUGAACAAUUGUACAGACAUGCAUAUAAAUAUGCUGACUAGUGCAGAAAUAUUUAGCUGAUCAGCAAAAUCUAUUAAUACGAAACCACAUUUCUUUGUUGUGAAGUUAAAAUGCAGCAGAUAAUGGAGACAUUGAUACAGAUAUCAUUAAAUGUAAUAGAGAAUUGUUACACUAAAGGUGUAUGACAGACAGCUGAACAAACAUUUAUAUAUGAAACUGGGUCAUCUAUUGCAAAACGAAAUCAAACUUUUUAAAGCAAAUAUAAUAAUAAUAAGAAAGCAUGUUGAGGCAGAUGAAUGAAAUUAGACAAGACUUACCAUUUAUUCAUAUGCUUUAUCUUCUAUUGACAGCUUGUAUUAAAAUAUUUCUAUAUAGCUAUUUAUUAUGAAAUGAUAAUGUAGUGAUAUUGAUGGUAGUGAAACCAUGACUACCCAAUCAACUGAGAAACCUUGGGAAAAAAUACUAUUUGUGCUUUUUUGGUAUUUCCCUGCAACAUUUCAGAAAAUUCUCAGAAAAAAAAAAUCCAAAUGCUGCAAAAUAAUUAAACUGAACAAAAUGAUAUACAGUCCAUGCUAGUGCACUUAUGCAUCUAAGAGUAUAACUUAACAACAUGAAGACUGAAUAUUGUCUUAGUUGAUCCUUAAACUGCUUUUAUGUCUGUGUAUUCUAUCCCUAAGAUUUUUGUUUUUGUUGUUGCAUGGGUUUCAAGAGGCAGUUUAGAAUAGAGGCUAGCUUGCUGGCCUUGGAGUCAGGAAAACCUGGAUUCUAGGCCUGUUGCUGAUAAAUACUGGUUGUGAACCAUUAGCAAGUCUCAACCUCUCAGUGUCUCAUGCAUCGCUCUUAGAUUAGAUGUUAUAGUUAAGAAAUAGCUCUGCUUCUGUGGAAAAAUCCUACGUCAAAAAUAUCACAGAUCUAAACUUCGCCCCCCCAAAAAUGCUUUAAAUCUGUUAAGACUUGAGUGACUUAGUAGAAGUUACAUGUCUAGAAUUUUGUAUCACUUUCCUUUCUGAAUAUAUCUAUUUCAUUAGGAAAUUAACCGUGAUUAGCCCCAAAGGAUUUUUACUUGAGUUAGUUACUGUAAUUUCUAAACAACUUCAUCAUUAUUUUGUGAUUUCCUAGAAAGUGUUUCUGUCUGAACCUAAUAUAGAGCUCAAUUUCUAAGAAUUGGUUAUGGAGUUUUAAAAUUUAGAAAAUUCAUUUUCUAAUACCCAAAGAAUAUAGUCGAGAAAUAGAACAAUCAUUCAGAUAUUUUAGGUCCUCUCAAAACAAAUUUUGUUGAAAAUAUUGAAAUGAGACCAAGGUUUUUCUUUUAUUUAAUCAUUUGAAUUAUGUCUUUAAGGUUUUGCUUUUCCUUAAUCAUCCAUAAUGCUAUCUUUGUUUGAUUCUCAAAAGUUUGAGCAUGAAAAAAUAAUUUGAAGGAAAUGGACUAUUUUUCUGGGAUAAAAAUAAAAACUGUUUUCUAUUCUUUUGAUUCAUUUUGAAAAAGUCUUUCUUUUAUCUUUUGAUGAUCAUAUGAAAAACAGCUAAUAUCAGGUAGGUAGGAAGUCUAAUCAAAAUUCUAUCUUUUGUUUUAUAUGUAAUAGAGAUAAUAUGAAGCUUUUUAUGGGUAUGUAUGCAUAGUCAAUGAAAAAGCAUUAUCUGAAUAAUUCAGGCAAAAGAAAAAAAAACAACAACAACCCAACAACCUCCCCCUCUGUAGCCUAUUAUGAGGUUGUAUUUUUAUACUAAAUUGUCUGAUGACUUGAGACCAUGCAUACUUGACUCUAGAUUUUCUGGAAAAUCACUGAAAAGCAACUAUGAGAGGAAAAAAAGGCUUCAGUUUGUGGUAAAACAGGAUGCAGAUACAAAAGUUGAAACAGGCAAUCAUUUUAACAGAAGGUAUCAUUGCAUUGCUGAUGUAAGCAUUUUGCAGUCAUUUUUGUAUAUGUCCUAUGUACAUGAUACCAUAGCAUGAGGUUGUUUGAUAUUAGCAUAAGGUGUUGCUAUAGUAACAGUGGCAUGAAUGUCUUGAUGGCACUUGUAGGAAGCAGACAUGAAUGAAUAUUUGGGAUUUUAUAUUCACUACAUAGCAAUAGAAGACAAUGUAAUAAAUACACUUAGUGAGCAAUUAGGGCAGCAUCAUAUUUAUCUGAAUAUUAUUAAUUAACCGGGAACUUUGCUCUUUUGACAAAACCUAAUGAAAAGAAGAAAUACAGUAUUAAUUAAUUUGUUUUUAAAAUGUUAAAGGUUGUUAAGGUUGAGAUUGAGUCAUCCAGAUAUGGUUUAGAAAAUGGCUUUGUUUUUUGCAGACAUCAAGCUUAUGUUAAAUAAUUUUAAAAUUAAAAAAACUUAGACCAAAUAUUCAGAGUGUUUGGUAUUACACUAAAACAUUUAGAAUGGAUUGCUGGUUGAUAACAGAAACUCCUUGAGAGCAAGGGCUGUUUGAUUUUUGUCUUUGUAUCUAAAGCACAAUGCAGUGCUUGACUCCCAACAGCCACUUAAAUGCUUUGUUAAAUCAAUGAAAGCAUUAAAGUGAGAAAUAUGACAAUGGUAGGUUCAAAGAUCUAUCAAUAAGAGUCAUGCAUCUUAAUAAACCCCACAGAAAUGCCUACCAAAUCUUCUGAAAAUGGAAUUUUCAAUGGUCUUUGCUUUGAUGAGAUUCAGUCAUUAUUUUAAGGUGAAUUUAACAGAUUCAUAGCAUUAUGAUUCUGCUUCUUUUGAUAGCUGUACUCUCAAUCUUCUCUGUGAUUUUUCAUAUCACACAAGUAGAUGCUAGUCGUGGUGUUUGAAGUAAUUACACACUGAAUUACUAUUUUUUUGGAAAGUGUAGGAGUAGUUGCUUCAUGUCAGUCUAUCAUUAUUACACAGAUAAUACUACAUACAUAAUAAGACAAUAUUAAAAAGAUUGAUUUUUGUAGUCAAAUGACUUGGCUAUUUUAAAUAAAAUCAAAGUUGAAUCCACCUCUAAGUUAUUUUCCUUAGUUAAGCAAAUGGUAUUUGGAUGAAAAAUUACUAACUUAUAAAAUCUAAAUUAAAAAUACGAAAUUGAUGAGAACUUUUAACAUGGAGACAUCUUAGACUUUGGUUUAAUGACUUGUACUGGACACAAAGAUUAAUAAUAAACUUGAGUAGAUGUGUGUCUACAUGAAGAACAGCUUUAACAUGAGCUAUUUUACAGAAUGUACUUUUAGCAAUACAGACAUUUUGCAACAUAAAAGGGUGACCAGGAUAUGUCUCAAAUAUGAAUGUCAGAUUGUUAAUUUAAGUUCAUAGUACUAAAGAUAAUAUAAAAAGCCUCUAACAUAUAAAAUAGUUUGAGGAAGGACUGCUUUUGCUCCUGAAGAAAUAGAUAUUUCUUUAUUGUAUUAAAAAGGAUAAAAGGAGAGGUUUUUUUUUUAAAAAAAUAAAACAAUAUUAAUCUUGGCCCUACUGAAGAAAAAAAAAGGAGAUUCGUAUUUAAUUCAAAAGGAAGAAAAAAUCUGUUCCACAUAUAAAAUAUUUUUUUACUCUAUGUUUAGGAAAAACACAGCAUGGAAUUAGUGGAUAUAGAGUUGGUUUUGGAAUUGUAAAGACUCCUAUGCAAAAUCUGCUUCUGCCUGGGCAAGUCCAGUAACUUCUUAAUGACACAGGUAACAGUCCAUAAAUUACAGAUUAGUUGCUAAUCUGCAUUAGUAGACAGAGGUCCCACAAAUAGGAGUUAUACAUACUGAUGAAAUCAGAGAUCUGGAUAAAAAGAAAUAAGAAAUCAUAUAGUUCAUAUCCAAUAUCUUUGGUUGAACCUCAUUUCACACUUCAUUAGCUUCUGUACUGUAUCUUGAAGAACAGCUAUGAAAGCAUCUAUUUUCCUUGGUUGAAAUGUUACAUUUAUCAAAUAUACUAGAAUUUUGUGAUAUCUUCAAUUGGGCAUUCUCUGACAUCUCAGAUACCACUCCUCAGUAAUGAUUUCUUUAUUAACCCCUCUCCCUCCUAUUUAAGAAACUAUUUAUCUUUGAAAAUCAGGUGUAUGGUGUAGAGACAGAAAAUUUGCCUUAUUUUUCCUGAGAACUAUUGUUCUUUUGCUAGCAACAAAAAUUGAGGAAAUCUAUCUUUACUCUUAUCAGGUCACUUUUAUGCUGUAUUCACAUAAGUCUCUUUAUCAUUUUUUCCUCUGUAAUCUGCUGUAAUCUUCAAUUCUCUCACAACCUCCCCACUCGUCAAUCUUGGGUUCUAAGUUGCUCUUCUGCAUAAAUCCAUUAUGCUCUAAUUUGUAAUGAGUGUUUCUUUAUUGAUAACUGUUCUAUGACCAAUAAGUGAGUGAUCUUUGUUGAGGGGUUUAGAGAAAUGAGAAGGAGGAGUGAUGAAGAAUGAAUUUAGAUAGGGAUCUUCUAAAGCAGUCCAGGAAGAAUUUGAUAGAAAGGAAAAGGUCACCAAAAUAUUAGUGGUCCGGUUCUGUAUGGAAACAUUAAUUGAGCUUCCCAAAUGUCUUUCCUAAUAGACUAGUACCAAUUAGGUAGAGGAUAAUUUUUUUUUCCCAUUGAAAAUACAUUAAAUCAAUUGGCAUUUUAGGACUUCCAUUCCCUAUUUCACUACACACACACACACACACACACACACACACACACACACACACACACAUAGUUUCAGGUUGAACAUUAGCAGCUGGAAACAUAUGCAGUUAAAUCUAAAGCUUAAUAUUAAAAAAAAAAGAAUGUUUCAGUGACUUAAUAGCAUUUCAUUACUACUAAAAAAACUUCUUUUAUACAUUUACUUCUGACUUGUUUAUGGUUUAAUAUCAUGAUGCUUUAAAUUUGCAUACAUUUUAAAAUUUGGAUAUCAUAAUGCAAAGAUAA